Neopsephotus bourkii (Bourke's parrot) is the source of this 565-nucleotide long non-coding RNA. RefSeq lists it as uncharacterized. Lineage: Eukaryota; Metazoa; Chordata; Aves; Psittaciformes; Psittacidae. The transcript is spliced from 2 exons. The record is from RefSeq and is a predicted model, not a curated record.
UGCACAGUGAGCUUGUGAUCUUUAGUUUCUGUGUUGAGAUGGUUGCAGACUGCUGCAGCUGGUUUUACUGAUGUAGGCAGGAGGGCACACGGAGCUGCUGCUGACACAGGGCAGUCCUGAGGAAACAGGGCGGCUACUUCGAGACCUGGAAAGCAGAGCUGUGCUGACGUUAAAUUAAGACAUUUAGCCUUGGUUUGAACUCUCAGGAAGAUUUCUAUUCCCUCACUGUCCACUUGUUUUUGCAGCAGCAGCAGCUCCGCUGUGGAAGUGUGAAACCUUUACCACACAAAACUAAUGUGAAGCAGGACACGAAGGCAGAGGCCGUGGUAUACAGCGUGACCUUCAUUGGCUGGGAGAACCUGGAAGAAAUGGUAGAAUUCACCUUAGAAGAACCUUGGAAUGGAUUUGGAUUCCUGUUGCUGCCUGGGGCUGAAACUGUUAUUUAAUCAGACCUGCUUAACACCUUUAGACUACAGCCUGCCUGGGAAUUUAUUACCACAUGGAACCUGUGUAAAGUAAUGUGGCAGUCCUAAUGGCCAAAUAGAAUAAUAAAAUACUGAUGUUC